AAUAGAUACCCCGGUAGUCCACGCCGUAAACGAUGAGUGCUAAGUGUUAGAGGGUUUCCGCCCUUUAGUGCUGCAGCUAACGCAUUAAGCACUCCGCCUGGGGAGUACGGUCGCAAGACUGAAACUCAAAGGAAUUGACGGGGGCCCGCACAAGCGGUGGAGCAUGUGGUUUAAUUCGAAGCAACGCGAAGAACCUUACCAGGUCUUGACAUCCCACUGACCGGUAUAGAGAUAUACCUUUCCCUUCGGGGACAGUGGUGACAGGUGGUGCAUGGUUGUCGUCAGCUCGUGUCGUGAGAUGUUGGGUUAAGUCCCGCAACGAGCGCGACCCUUGAUCUUAGUUGCCAGCAUUUAGUUGGGCACUCUAAGGUGACUGCCGGUGACAAACCGGAGGAAGGUGGGGAUGACGUCAAAUCAUCAUGCCCCUUAUGACCUGGGCUACACACGUGCUACAAUGGAUGGUACAAAGGGCUGCAAGACUGCGAAGUCAAGCCAAUCCCAUAAAAACCAUUCUCAGUUCGGAUUGCAGG
This 530-nucleotide ribosomal RNA is filed under the name uncultured bacterium. RNAcentral's name for it is "bacterial SSU rRNA". It matches the Rfam family "Bacterial small subunit ribosomal RNA", at positions 777 to 1304 of the family's 1533-position model. The record is from RNAcentral.